ACGUGUAAUAGGUAAUUUCAUUCCUGGUCCCCAACACUCUUCAGAUUCAACCAACACUCAGAACAUCUGAAGAGUCCAAGUUGCUGCUGAGUGCUUCCAUAUGUCAGUUUCAUCCGUACAAGUUUCCUGUGAUGCUGGGAGCUAACCCACCGCGUCUAUCAAGUAUCACUGCAAUGGCACUCGCAUUUAUUGAGUGCUUUCUGAGAUGAAACACCAUGUAAAGUUCUUUAGCUGGAUGCUUUGAGCAAUUCCCACAACGCACCUUGGAUGACAGGUAUUAACAUUAGCAUCUCCAUUUUAUAGGUGAAUGAACUGAGAACCAGAGAGAAUGAGAAAUGGCAGAGAGAUAGGAUUUGAAUCUAGACAGUCCUACUCUCCUACUAUGCCCUUGUCUUUUAACCCCCAUACCUAGAGAAACCAAGAGAAAGAAGAUUCACCAUAUCAGAGUCACUCCAUCUAGCACUUACCUAGACUAGACUGUAAGCUCCCAGAGGCAGGAAUUAUGUCUUAUGGUUUUCCUGUACCUAGCCCAGUACAUGACACAGAAACCUCUGCAUGAUAAUUAUUGACGGAUGGAUUAUCCCUGUUCAAGUAGAGGAAAGCUCAUCAGAUUGACCUGAAAGUAUUAGCUCACCUGCAACAAAGCAGU
This 649-nucleotide long non-coding RNA is filed under the name Sus scrofa (pig). RNAcentral's name for it is "lncRNA (ENSSSCG00065031227.1)". The record is from RNAcentral. Lineage: Eukaryota; Metazoa; Chordata; Mammalia; Artiodactyla; Suidae.